GAUGAACGCUGGCGGCGUGCCUAAUACAUGCAAGUCGAGCGAACGGACGAGAAGCUUGCUUCUCUGAUGUUAGCGGCGGACGGGUGAGUAACACGUGGAUAACCUACCUAUAAGACUGGGAUAACUUCGGGAAACCGGAGCUAAUACCGGAUAAUAUUUUGAACCGCAUGGUUCAAAAGUGAAAGACGGUCUUGCUUUCACUUAUAGAUGGAUCCGCGCUGCAUUAGCUAGUUGGUAAGGUAACGGCUUACCAAGGCAACGAUGCAUAGCCGACCUGAGAGGGUGAUCGGCCACACUGGAACUGAGACACGGUCCAGACUCCUAAGGGAGGCAGCAGUAGCGAAUCUUCCGCAAUGGGCGAAAGCCUGACGGAGCAACGCCGCGUGAGUGAUGAAGGUCUUCGGAUCGUAAAACUCUGUUAUUAGGGAAGAACAUAUGUGUAAGUAACUGUACACAUCGUGACGGUACCUAAUCAGAAAGCCACGGCUAACUACGUG
This 497-nucleotide ribosomal RNA is filed under the name uncultured bacterium. RNAcentral's name for it is "partial 16S ribosomal RNA". It matches the Rfam family "Bacterial small subunit ribosomal RNA", at positions 28 to 507 of the family's 1533-position model. The record is from RNAcentral.